RNAcentral lists this ribosomal RNA (821 nucleotides) under Escherichia coli. Its description in RNAcentral is "partial 23S ribosomal RNA". It matches the Rfam family "Bacterial large subunit ribosomal RNA", at positions 2110 to 2925 of the family's 2925-position model. Lineage: Bacteria; Pseudomonadati; Pseudomonadota; Gammaproteobacteria; Enterobacterales; Enterobacteriaceae. The record is from RNAcentral.
CUUGACACUGAACAUUGAGCCUUGAUGUGUAGGAUAGGUGGGAGGCUUUGAAGUGUGGACGCCAGUCUGCAUGGAGCCGACCUUGAAAUACCACCCUUUAAUGUUUGAUGUUCUAACGUGGACCCGUGAUCCGGGUUGCGGACAGUGUCUGGUGGGUAGUUUGACUGGGGCGGUCUCCUCCUAAAGAGUAACGGAGGAGCACGAAGGUUGGCUAAUCCUGGUCGGACAUCAGGAGGUUAGUGCAAUGGCAUAAGCCAGCUUGACUGCGAGCGUGACGGCGCGAGCAGGUGCGAAAGCAGGUCAUAGUGAUCCGGUGGUUCUGAAUGGAAGGGCCAUCGCUCAACGGAUAAAAGGUACUCCGGGGAUAACAGGCUGAUACCGCCCAAGAGUUCAUAUCGACGGCGGUGUUUGGCACCUCGAUGUCGGCUCAUCACAUCCUGGGGCUGAAGUAGGUCCCAAGGGUAUGGCUGUUCGCCAUUUAAAGUGGUACGCGAGCUGGGUUUAGAACGUCGUGAGACAGUUCGGUCCCUAUCUGCCGUGGGCGCUGGAGAAUUGAGGGGGGCUGCUCCUAGUACGAGAGGACCGGAGUGGACGCAUCACUGGUGUUCGGGUUGUCAUGCCAAUGGCACUGCCCGGUAGCUAAAUGCGGAAGAGAUAAGUGCUGAAAGCAUCUAAGCACGAAACUUGCCCCGAGAUGAGUUCUCCCUGACCCUUUAAGGGUCCUGAAGGAACGUUGAAGACGACGACGUUGAUAGGCCGGGUGUGUAAGCGCAGCGAUGCGUUGAGCUAACCGGUACUAAUGAACCGUGAGGCUUAACCUU